AGCCCCAGUAAACGGCGGCCGUAACUAUAACGGUCCUAAGGUAGCGAAAUUCCUUGUCGGGUAAGUUCCGACCCGCACGAAAGGCGUAACGAUUUGGGCACUGUCUCAACAACAGACUCGGUGAAAUUGUAAUUCCGGUGAAGAUGCCGGAUACCUGCGACAGGACGGAAAGACCCCAUGGAGCUUUACUGUAGCUUGACAUUGGGUCUUGGUACUACAUGUACAGGAUAGGUGGGAGGCUUUGAAACCAGGACGCCAGUUUUGGCGGAGCCAUCCUUGGGAUACCACCCUUGUAGUACUGGGACUCUAACCAUAGGCCAUGAAUCUGGUCUUGGGACACUGUCAGGUGGGCAGUUUGACUGGGGCGGUCGCCUCCCAAAAGGUAACGGAGGCGCUCAAAGGUUCUCUCAGUACGGUCGGAAAUCGUACGUAGAGUGUAAAGGCAAAAGAGAGCUUGAUUGCAAGACAUACAGGUCGAGCAAGGAUGAAAAUCGGACUUAGUGAUCCGGUGGUUCUGCGUGGAAGGGCCAUCGCUCAACGGAUAAAAGCUACCCUGGGGAUAACAGGCUUAUCUCCCCCAAGAGUCCACAUCGACGGGGAGGUUUGGCACCUCGAUGUCGGCUCAUCACAUCCUGGGGCUGUAGUAGGUCCCAAGGGUUGGGCUGUUCGCCCAUUAAAGUGGUACGCGAGCUGGGUUCAGAACGUCGUGAGACAGUUCGGUCCCUAUCCGUCGCAGGCGUAGGAAAUUUGAGAAGACCUGUCCUUAGUACGAGAGGACCGGGAUGGACGUACCUCUGGUGUACCAGUUGUCCUGCCAAGGGCAUGGCUGGGUAGCUAUGUACGGAAUGGAUAAGCGCUGAAAGCAUCUAAGCGCGAAGCCAACUUCAAGAUAAGAUUUCCCACCGCAAGGGUAAGACCCCAGAAAGACUAUCUGGUUGAUAGGUCGAAGGUGUAAGUGCAGCAAUGUAUUUAGCUUAUCGAUACUAAUAG
Molecule: ribosomal RNA, 990 nt
Filed under: Clostridioides difficile
Lineage: Bacteria; Bacillati; Bacillota; Clostridia; Peptostreptococcales; Peptostreptococcaceae
Description: partial 23S ribosomal RNA
Rfam family: Bacterial large subunit ribosomal RNA
Source: RNAcentral